UAAGAAGUCUCGCUCGGGAACAGCACCGACUGAGUCAGGACGCUGCUGCUGCUCGCUCGGGGCCUGGGACUUAAGACUUCGAAGUUCGAACUCUUUUUCACUGGGUCGAGGUCGCUGAUUAGUUUUUAGUCGAACUGUGCGAGGGGACGCGACGCGUUGUGAUCUGUGCGAGUGCUCCCUAACCUCAAACUCGGCGUGGUGCGUAGUGAUGUGUUGUGCCCUGUGAGUGUCAGGAUACGAUAGUUUUGCCGAGCAUGCACCCAUGCUCAUAGUUGAUGAAAAUCCAGGAGAACCUAAUUGAACUAGAGUCGCUAACCGAAACUACCAUGCUGACUCACUACCCUCCGCCGCAGUCCGAUUUCGGCUAUCCUCAACAGGGGCUCCCAUCCAUAGACAAUGUUGAGGCACAAUCGUGGUUCUCAAACUUCUUACAGCCUUCGCCCGAAGGAGACGACUCGAUGCUUAUGCUGCGGUCCGAUGAUCAACAGUCGAUACAUAUUCCAGACUGGCUUUCCGGCCCUGUCUCCGAUAGUGAUCAGAACGUUUCCGGUAAUUUUUUUUUAUCUCUCAUCUAUUGAUUCAUUCAUCGGCCUAUAUUCCACUCGAUCAA
This 610-nucleotide long non-coding RNA is filed under the name Bemisia tabaci. RNAcentral describes it as "lncRNA ENSASIAIIG006111". Lineage: Eukaryota; Metazoa; Arthropoda; Insecta; Hemiptera; Aleyrodidae. The record is from RNAcentral.